RNAcentral lists this ribosomal RNA (786 nucleotides) under uncultured bacterium. Its description in RNAcentral is "bacterial SSU rRNA". It matches the Rfam family "Bacterial small subunit ribosomal RNA", at positions 669 to 1455 of the family's 1533-position model. The record is from RNAcentral.
CCAUGUGUAGCGGUGAAAUGCGUAGAUAUAUGGAGGAACACCGGUGGCGAAAGCGGCUCUCUGGUCUGUAACUGACGCUGAGGCUCGAAAGCGUGGGGAGCGAACAGGAUUAGAUACCCUGGUAGUCCACGCCGUAAACGAUGAGUGCUAGGUGUUGGAUCCUUUCCGGGAUUCAGUGCCGAAGCUAACGCAUUAAGCACUCCGCCUGGGGAGUACGACCGCAAGGUUGAAACUCAAAGGAAUUGACGGGGGCCCGCACAAGCGGUGGAGCAUGUGGUCUAAUUCGAAGCAACGCGAAGAACCUUACCAGGUCUUGACAUCCCGAUGCUAUUUCUAGAGAUAGAAAGUUACUUCGGUACAUCGGUGACAGGUGGUGCAUGGUUGUCGUCAGCUCGUGUCGUGAGAUGUUGGGUUAAGUCCCGCAACGAGCGCAACCCCUAUUGUUAGUUGCCAUCAUUCAGUUGGGCACUCUAGCGAGACUGCCGGUAAUAAACCGGAGGAAGGUGGGGAUGACGUCAAAUCAUCAUGCCCCUUAUGACCUGGGCUACACACGUGCUACAAUGGUUGGUACAACGAGUUGCGAGUCGGUGACGGCGAGCUAAUCUCUUAAAGCCAAUCUCAGUUCGGAUUGUAGGCUGCAACUCGCCUACAUGAAGUCGGAAUCGCUAGUAAUCGCGGAUCAGCACGCCGCGGUGAAUACGUUCCCGGGCCUUGUACACACCGCCCGUCACACCACGAGAGUUUGUAACACCCGAAGUCGGUGAGGUAACCUUUNGGAGCCAGCCG